Molecule: ribosomal RNA, 440 nt
Filed under: uncultured bacterium
Lineage: Bacteria
Description: bacterial SSU rRNA
Rfam family: Bacterial small subunit ribosomal RNA
Source: RNAcentral
CCUACGGGUGGCAGCAGUGGGGAAUAUUGCACAAUGGGCGCAAGCCUGAUGCAGCGACGCCGCGUGAGGGAUGAAGGCCUUCGGGUUGUAAACCUCUUUCGUCAGGGAACAAGGCACCGUCUUUUGGUGGUGUUGAGGGUACCUGGAUAAGAAGCGCCGGCUAACUACGUGCCAGCAGCCGCGGUAAUACGUAGGGCGCAAGCGUUGUCCGGAAUUAUUGGGCGUAAAGAGCUCGUAGGCGGCUGGUCGCGUCUGUCGUGAAAACUUCCGGCUCAACCGGGGGCUUGCGGUGGGUACGGGCCGACUAGAGUGCGGUAGGGGUAACUGGAACUCCUGGUGUAGCGGUGGAAUGCGCAGAUAUCAGGAAGAACACCGAUGGCGAAGGCAGGUUACUGGGCCGUUACUGACGCUGAGGAGCGAAAGCGUGGGGAGCGAACAGG